GACGAACGCUGGCGGCGUGCUUAACACAUGCAAGUCGAGCGGUAAGGCCUUUCGGGGUACACGAGCGGCGAACGGGUGAGUAACACGUGGGUGAUCUGCCCUGCACUUCGGGAUAAGCCUGGGAAACUGGGUCUAAUACUGGAUAUGACCUCCUAUCGCAUGGUGGGUGGUGGAAAGAUUUAUCGGUGCAGGAUGGGCCCGCGGCCUAUCAGCUUGUUGGUGGGGUAAUGGCCUACCAAGGCGACGACGGGUAGCCGACCUGAGAGGGUGACCGGCCACACUGGGACUGAGACACGGCCCAGACUCCUACGGGAGGCAGCAGUGGGGAAUAUUGCACAAUGGGCGAAAGCCUGAUGCAGCGACGCCGCGUGAGGGAUGACGGCCUUCGGGUUGUAAACCUCUUUCAGCAGGGACGAAGCGCAAGUGACGGUACCUGCAGAAGAAGCACCGGCUAACUACGUG
This 462-nucleotide ribosomal RNA is filed under the name uncultured bacterium. RNAcentral describes it as "partial 16S ribosomal RNA". It matches the Rfam family "Bacterial small subunit ribosomal RNA", at positions 28 to 507 of the family's 1533-position model. The record is from RNAcentral.